Molecule: ribosomal RNA, 559 nt
Filed under: uncultured bacterium
Lineage: Bacteria
Description: bacterial SSU rRNA
Rfam family: Bacterial small subunit ribosomal RNA
Source: RNAcentral
ACGGGGUAGUAAGGCAUCGGAACGUACCCUUCUGUUCGGGAUAGCCGCGGGAAACUGCGAGUAAUACCGGAUAACACCGGCCUUUGUGAUGAAGGCCGGUCAAAGGUCCGCCGCGGAAGGAGCGGCCGAUGUGAUAUCAGCUGGUUGGCGGGGUAACGGCCCACCAAGGCUUAGACGUCUAGGGGAUGUGAGAGCAUGAUCCCCACCACUGGGACUGAGAUACUGCCCAGACACCUACGGGUGGCUGCAGUCGAGGAUCUUCGGCAAUGGGCGCAAGCCUGACCGAGCGACGCUGCGUGCGGGAUGAAGGCCCUUGGGUUGUAAACCGCUGUCAGAGGGGAUGAAAGCGAAAGCUUGACAGAGCCUCAGAGGAAGCGCGGGCUAAGUUCGUGCCAGCAGCCGCGGUAAUACGAACUGCGCGAACGUUAUUCGGAAUCACUGGGCUUACAGGGUGCGUAGGCGGCCGAUCAGGUCCGAUGUGAAAUCCCCCAGCUCAACUGGGGAAUGGCAUUAGAAACCGGCCGGCUGGAGUGAGCUAGAGGUGCACGGAACUUCCGGU